This 924-nucleotide long non-coding RNA is filed under the name Vulpes vulpes (red fox). RNAcentral's name for it is "lncRNA (ENSVVUG00000013481.1)". Lineage: Eukaryota; Metazoa; Chordata; Mammalia; Carnivora; Canidae. The record is from RNAcentral.
GUCCCUGCCUGUGCCCCCUGGCUGACUCCCUCACACAUCAUCACUGCUUUAGUAGGUGGUAGGUGUUGGUGGUGUCCUUCACUGUCUGUCUUUUCUACCAGGAUGGUAUAUCUUCCCCACCUGCUGGGAGUGUCAGUUCCCAACAGCUCACUGCUAUGGUUCUCUGGAGAACUGUCCCUCAGCCAAUGGAAAUACAUUCCCCUGAAGAGGGGCAGGGAACCCUGGAUCAGAUCCUAUGAACAAACCCUUGUGUGUGCCAAUCACAUCCACAGCAUUGGUUCAAGUUGCUAUGACAGGUAUGUAUUGACAAACCACACAUAUGUUUUUAGAAGGGUUUUUAAAAAAUUCCAAAGCCUUACAUCUCAAUAUUUCAAAAGGCCUUUUAAUAUUAUUGUAUUUAAAGACUAGGGGGAAAAAAUCUGCGACUUACUGAAAAGCUCAAUACUCCAAAAGAUCUUUUUAGAACGUAGUGUAAAGGAUUAUAAUUAAAAAAAAAACUGUUAUUUAUUGAGAAUGUAUCCUUAUUGGGCAUAAGAAGUAAAAGUUCCCUUAUUAUCUCUCCUCUUAACUCACAAAUAUGUAGGCAACUGCCUUUUCUUCUGAUUCUUCCAUCCAUAGAAGUGCCUCUAGCAUGUGGACUGAUCUCCACACCUGCUUCUUUAUUCCUACUGCUUAGACUGAGGAUAUUUCAAAGGAUUGGUCAUGGACUCACACUCGCCCUGGUCAAUGCCCACUGUAGAAUGGUAGGAGGACUCUCGGGCAGGGAUGCCUCCUUCCGCACCUUUUGAACUGGGCCAUGCUUUGUGAUUAAUUUGCUUUAUCUUAGAACUCAUUGCAUUACCUCUGAAUAGACAUCUCAGUUGAGAUGAUGUUUCCUUUUCUUUUCUUUUUUUUAUAAUAAAUUUAUUUUUUAUUGGUGUUUAA